GGAAAAUCCACCCACCUUCCCCCCAAAAGAUCUCCCCUAAUCCCUUCUCUUUCUCCUCCAAAUGGGUUCCUUCAAUACCUCUGUAACUUCAAAUGUCCACCACCGCCACUGCCAUCCCCGCUAUUUCUUCACCCGUCACCACCACUGCUCCUCCUUCCUCCACUUACCUCACCAAUCUCGGUCUUGGCUAUUCCAUAGCCAUAGCCCUUGGUUUCCUUUUCCUCCUCUCCACUUUACUCCUUGCUUCCUACAUCUGCUGCCGUGACUCUCGCAACCGCUCCCACAAUGCAAACAACAACGAUAACAACCGAAACAACAACCCGAAUUCUCUCUCUGAUGGCAUAAUUCUCCCUCGCAUUAUCUUCGUGGCUGAAGAGGAGAGUGACCUUGAACGUGACCAAGAAAGUGCAACAAUUGGCCUCGACCAGGCGGUGAUCAAUUCAUAUCCGAAAUUUCAGUUCACUAAAGAUGGGAGUUUGGACGGAAAUAGUACUACUUGCCCGAUCUGUUUGUGCGAGUACAAGGAUUUCGAGAUGCUAAGAAUGAUGCCGGAGUGCAGACAUUAUUUUCACUUGUGUUGUAUCGAUGCUUGGCUGAAACUUAAUGGGUCUUGUCCGGUAUGUCGGAACUCACCGCUUCCGACUCCGCUGUCUACGCCAUUGUCGGAGGUGGUGCCACUGUCGCAGUACGCUGCUGAUCGAAGGAGGAGGAGGUGAUUUGAUCUUGUUUGGUUGUUUUUGGAGUGGUGGUGAGUGAUUUGGGGGUCUUUUAUCGUGUGUUUUGGGAUUGAAAUUGUAAAUUUUGUUAAUUUCUGAAUAGGCAUAGGUAGUGGGAUUUUGGAUUUUCAUUUUUUUGUUACUGAUAAAUUGUGAUUUUGGUUUGCUAAGGCAGAGAAUGGAAAACAAACUACUUUCUGUGUUACUGUUUCAUUACAGUGAAGUGAACUAAACAAUUUUCCAC
Molecule: unclassified non-coding RNA, 960 nt
Filed under: Hevea brasiliensis (rubber tree)
Lineage: Eukaryota; Viridiplantae; Streptophyta; Magnoliopsida; Malpighiales; Euphorbiaceae
Source: RNAcentral